Molecule: ribosomal RNA, 557 nt
Filed under: uncultured fungus
Lineage: Eukaryota; Fungi
Description: eukaryotic LSU rRNA
Rfam family: Eukaryotic large subunit ribosomal RNA
Source: RNAcentral
GGGAUUGCCUUAGUAACGGCGAGUGAAGCGGCAAUAGCUCAAAUUUGAAAUCUGGCUCUUUCAGAGUCCGAAUUGUAAUUUGUAGAGGAUGUUUCGGACAAGGUUGCGGUUUAAAUUCCUUGGAACAGGAUGUCAUAGAGGGUGAGAAUCCCGUCUUGAAUCGUAUACUGCGUCUAUGUGAAACUCCUUCGACGAGUCGAGUUGUUUGGGAAUGCAGCUCAAAAUGGGAGGUAAAUUUCUUCUAAAGCUAAAUAUUGGCCAGAGACCGAUAGCGCACAAGUAGAGUGAUCGAAAGAUGAAAAGCACUUUGAAAAGAGAGUUAAACAGUAUGUGAAAUUGUUGAAAGGGAAGCGCUUACAACCAGACUUGCGCGUAGGUAAUCACGAGUGGUUCGCUGCUCUGCACUUGCCUACGCUCAGGCCAGCAUCAGUUCUAGGGGUGGGAUAAAGGCCGUUGGAAUGUGGCUCUUCGGAGUGUUAUAGCCUUCGGUGCCAUGCCGCCUCCCGGGACUGAGGACCGCGCUUCGGCUAGGAUGCUGGCGUAAUGGUUGUAAGCGA